Molecule: ribosomal RNA, 253 nt
Filed under: uncultured bacterium
Lineage: Bacteria
Description: partial 16S ribosomal RNA
Rfam family: Bacterial small subunit ribosomal RNA
Source: RNAcentral
UACGAAGGGGGCGAGCGUUGUUCGGAAUUACUGGGCGUAAAGGGCGCGCAGGCGGCUCUGAAAGUCAGAUGUGAAAGCCCCGGGCUUAACCUGGGAAUUGCAUUUGAUACUCUGGAGCUUGAGUACGGGAGAGGAGAGUGGAAUUCCCAGUGUAGAGGUGAAAUUCGUAGAUAUUGGGAAGAACACCGGUGGCGAAGGCGGCUCUCUGGACCGUAACUGACGCUCAUGCACGACAGCGUGGGGAUCAAACAGG